Molecule: long non-coding RNA, 5520 nt
Organism: Aquila chrysaetos chrysaetos
Lineage: Eukaryota; Metazoa; Chordata; Aves; Accipitriformes; Accipitridae
Exons: 2
Source: RefSeq, a predicted model, not a curated record
AUACUUUUUUAAGAUGUGAGUUAAUUACAGGAGAAGUGAGGAAAUGAGCAGCUAAUCUUACUGUGAGCUAACGAGCCUGAUUGCACUGACAUCAGUGUGAGCCAAGGGAGCAGUGCCGAUUGCACAGUGGGACCCUACAGUCCCACGAGCGGGGUCGGACAUAAAACUGGCAAAGAGGGGAACUCUGUUUCCCGGGUGCGUUGUCAGUGUCCGUGAGUCCUAAUGCAUUACCAGAGCAGUGCCUGAUCCACGAACCAGCCCGAGUCCCUUGCGCUCCAGCUGUGAGCUUCUACUAAGUGCCCUUAACUUUCUACAUUAGAGAAAAAAACUACCUGGAAAACUACCUGGUUGCAGGAAAUGCAACUGACAUGAAGGGAAUAUAUUUUGCUAACAUUGAACUAAUCUUUUGCUGUGAGCGGAGUAUGGCACUGCAGCUUUGCAAUGAAACAAAAUUACCUGUAAAAGGCUCUGUAGGCACUCGGUGCUGCCUGUAGAAGCAGACCACACAUAUUUACAUCAUUGUAACAUAUAUAUUCUUUUUUUCCUGCAUUUAUGACCCUGUCCAACUUCCAGCUCAGGCAACUGCUGUGUCUCAGAAGGAUUUGUGAGUCAUGGGCCUGCUGAUAAAGAAGGGGUAUUUUCUCUCUUGGUGGCCACCCUGUAAUGUUGCGUUUGGCAUUAGGCAGCUGUCCGCAGCCUCGCUUGUCCUGCAGACGGAAGCGCAGGACCCCCUUGGCUCUAUUACCUAAUAUAGCAUUUGGGAUCUGGGGGGAGGACAUGCUCAGUGCAUCCUCUGAAUCAUAAAAAGGAGCAAGUAUUCUUGCCAGCUGCAAUGCUGGCCUUGCUGACUGCAAGUUUUUACGGGGCUGUAAUAUCAUAGAAAUGAGGGAUGGAAAAAAUGUAGUAUUUCUCAAGAGCUACCUGCCUGUCCGUGCAUGAUACAGCCCAGAUCACACGUAAAAUGAAUAUAUCUGAAUGGACCUAAGCAGCACCUUUCCAUCUCUUUAAAUUAGACCAGUCUUAUUUAGAGGUUUUUGUAGUCCAUCGUGUAAGUAAAUGGACAGAUAACGUAAUUUGUGGUCUGUGGGGAUAUUCUAAUUUUGAGUAGACAGAAGUGUUGUCAUCGGGGUGCCUGCCUUGUGCUCUCGCAACUUUCAAAACCCGCUUCUCUCCCCGUACUCUUCCCUGGGGGACCCAUCCCUGCCAGCACUGCCUGUGCAGCUACAAACACCUCAGAGUAAAUCCUUAAACUCUUUUGCUUCAACUCUUUAAAAGACAUCUCCGUUACUCCCAAGUGCUGAACUCAAAUCUUGCCACCCAAGGCCGUUUUCAGCCAGUGGCUCAGGGCAGCAGCACGGCGGGGCUCUGCACUCCUAUCUUCGUUGCUUGUGAGCCAGAAGCCACUAAGAUAAACAUAACUGAUUUCGUUUUGCUUGUAUUUCAAAGGGCAUUUCGGUCAGAAAAGAGGAGCAAGGCCGCACCUAGCUUUCAGGAGACAGUGGCUAAAUAAACAUCUGGACACUAAUGUAAACUCCUGAGGUCCAUGGUGGAGGUCGAGCAUGGCACGGGGCCAAGUGCCAGCAGCGUAUGUGCCGGGCUGCACAGCCUCCACGCUCGCUCGCCUGUCUUCUGCCAGUCCGUCAGUCCCAAAUGUUGUCCUCUUCGUACGUGAUGUUUCCCUUAAGUGGUGCCGGGCUGUUUAGUCGUUCGCUUGCUUUUGCUGUAACUUCCUUUGUUUAAUAUGCUUUAAAAUAGCCAAGCACUGCACAAAGAGAGGCUUGUUCGCUUGUGCAGCAGCCAGCGAAACAAAGAGACUUCCACGUCUCCUGUUUUUACAAGCCGGGAUGAAUCACUGAGCUCCGCACGCGGUUCCCCCGCCGCAUACCGGUAUUCCCCUCGCCCGGGGACUUGCGUUACAGAAACAGGGAUCCGUGACCGGGAGAGCUCUCUGGAGUGUGAUGUGUCAGUUGGAGCAGCCCCUGGCAUUGCUCUGCAGCAGUCCCCGCAGAACUGGUCCCUGCAGAGCCCUAACACACAUUGCCCAUGUCAGGUUUGACUUCGUGUCAGGUUUGACGUCGGCAUGCUCUGCGGCGGUUAACCGUUUCUUAGUCGUACAGCUGCUGUCUGCAGAGCGGGACACUAGACGAUCAUUAUGCUCCAUGAGAACUGCAGUAGGAGCUGUUCUAUCUGAGGUUGGGAAUAUUCACUCCAUCUUUGGUUUAUCUGAUGGCUUUUCAUUUGUGUUGAGGAUGUCCUUGUUCUAGAGGACAGGGCGCUGUAUUCCUUAAGGCAAAGCUGUGCACGAUGCAGGAGCCAGACUGUUUAACAGAGACACUUGGGAGUGGUGAACAUGAGGUUCCAGUGAAGCCUGCUGGGUGAGGAGGAGCCAGCUCUGAACAGUGGCUCUGCCCCACGCUGUGAAACCCCUCAAAGCUCCUUGUGGAUGUUCAAUGCUUGGCAAGCUGGGUCCGAGUCAGCUCCUGCGUAUCAGUUCUCAUCACUGUCAAAUGGACUUCCAGGGUUCCUCCUCCCUUGCUCUUUGGCCUCUAAAAUAAAUUAUUCUGAUUAUCUCAAUUAUGUCAUAAGAGGGGGGUGGAAUAGUAAGGCCUUACAUGGGCUUAUUUAACAAUCUAAUACUUUGGUCUUGCGAGCCCUCUGGGCUGUCAGUUUCCAGAUAUCUUAGUUAAACUGAUUCAAAUAUUUAAAAACUGGAAUAUUGGAAAGCUGCACCAUUGCCUGUGAAAAGUGUCGGUACAGUAUUAGGAGCCAGGAGCCAGUGCCACCGUUCGAGAUAUCCUCCUAGAACAAAGUGACUUUGAGUGGCAGAUGCUUUCUCGUCUUCUGGGACCGUUGCGGUAAACGGGUGGGAAGAGCCGAUAUGAAGGAGAUCCCGCGGCCACGCAUACCCUACAUGCUGCUGCUGCACGACUAGAUAGCCACAGCAGAGAUGAAGACUUUGGGGUUUGAAUUUUGGUUCAAAUCCACCUUCCCAGGAGCCUUUCUGGGGAGCUGCCAUCCUGUGGGACGUGACGGUGCCCAGGACCUUCUAGCAUGUCCUUUAAACAUUUCUGCUUGUACUAGGAUGUGAUGGGUUUUAAAGUUCUGCAUUCUCAGACUUUUACGUUAUAGCACAUUAGGGUGGGGCUUAAAUAAAUAAUAGCUCAAAGGCAGGUUCAAAAUGAAUCAUGAUUUGAGGGCAGGACUAGAGAGUGACUAACUGUUCAGAGCAGUGACCUCUCUGGAAGUGAAGUGAGGAUACUGGAGAUGCAUGAAAUCUCGGAGGAGAAGCAUCACUUAGGAUGAGGGUGAGCUGUGAAGGAUUUCAAAGUAGGAUUUAAUCCUCUGAGCAAUCCUAAUCCUGACCCUGAUUUUGUGGACUGGACCAGUUUCUGCAGCCCGACUCUGAACAUCUCGGUUUUUACCCAGUUGCAGAGCAACUGCUUUCGGUGGGGCAGCUGGUGAUCAAAAUCUUUGCACUAAAUGAAACUUAAUUGAAAGAUGUUGUGUUAUCAAAGCCAGAACAUGUUGUGGAGAUGUAUUGGUGUGAAGGCUCAUCCAUCAGAGCUCUUAGAGGGAGAGAUUCCUCUGAUUAAAGCCUUUGCUCUGUGUUUCAGGCAAACAAACGAGAAGUGCCUCACCUUGCUGCUGGUUUAGCACAGCUGGGCAAAUGCCACAUAAAAAUUAUUCUGCAAAUCAUUUGCCUAUCUCUAUGUGAGAAGGAUUUUUCAUUUAAAUAUAUUUACAUUAAUUAGUGCCUUCCGUAUGGUUUUGGUGCUUGCAUUAGGCUCAUUUUCAUUUUGGCAAGACCAACUGCCACCUUUUUGGGGGGGGAUACUGUUUUGUAGAGCUACACUGACUUCUUCCCAGAAUUUACUCUUUAUCCUGUGUUUUCUGAAGCAAACGGACUUCUCUUGAUUAAAAGUUGCCAGAGUUUUCUCGUCAUGGGCAUCUUGGAAAAGUCAUCUAAGGGCACAAAGUUAUUUGAAUUUUCCAAAGCUUGUUCUCCUACUCAGAACAAAUGUUUUUGCUUCUUUCUGGUUUUAUUGACUCGCCUCUCGUUUGAGUGAAGAGUAAAAGCAGCGCUGGGAUGAAAAACUGGUAUGAAUGCUCACCUUGCUGUGCUCAGCUGCUCUGGAAAAGGUGGUACUAGUCUUGGGAGUUACCCCUUGCCUGUAACGUGCCAUUUGUGUGGUCCUUCCUCCUUACCGUGCAAUUUGUUUUAUGUUAUAAAAUGCACCUUUCAAUGACGGAGAGGGAGUGCAGUUCCCAGGGGAUCGCUGCUGUGCUUCUGUCUGGUUGAGAGCUCUUGCUGUGUGCAUGUUGGUACUUUCUGGUGAAGAAAUCCAUACAAAACCUAGUAAGCUGACACAUAGACUCAAGAUACAGUUGUAUGUAUUAACUGGCUAGAAGAGAUAUUCUUAAAUAUAGGAAGAGCAUUUUGGAUGAAGCAAAAACCAACCUGAGCCUCUUCCAAAGGAACCCAAAGCUUCAGUUCAAGCUGCAGACUGGGCCAUACCCCACUGCUGCGUUUUUUCCGCCCAAGGAGACAGACAAUAUGUGCUUUGUCACACAACGCAGCGUGAAAUCUUAAACUCUCUCAGUCCUGGUAUUUCGUAUCAAUCCAAACAAAUGUAAAUCUAAACCAAGGGCUGUUGGGUACCAAACACAAUGGUAUUGGAUACACCGAGACUGGAAUUCAUCGGCCAUAGAUGCUGCAGGACUGCCCCGACCGAGGAGUUGGUAAGCAGAUUUGGCCCUGCAGGGUAUGGCAGGCAUUUUCUCCAUGUGCCAACAAAAACUCAGGCAGGCACACCUUAUAAACACAUGACACAUUCAUUUUCAGGAAAGUAAACGGGGUGGUUUCUCCAUGACCUUACCAAUUCCCCAGCAUCCGGCAGAGGGGGGUUUUCUUCUGCCUUACCAGUUCCCAGCAGUGAGUAACAUGCCCCGAGCCUGCUUUUAAAUAAGGAAAUUCAGUAUCGUUUCUAAGCCGUGCUAAUUCACAGUGCUUUCCUUGGGCAGGAUCCUAUAGGGAGUUUUUCCUUUCCAGCAUUUUAAUGCAAUUUGCAUAUUUCAAGUCUCAUUUGUCUGGAAAUGAGCUGGAAAUGUACGGGUGAUAACACUCCUGCUUCAGGUUCCACUUCAUCAAUUUUAAGCCCCGUGUUGCUUAAAUAUGUCCCACCCAAGGGAGGUUCUGCCGCUUUCAGAAAUGCUAAACUUUACUGGUAAAAUGUGAAUAUUGUUCUGUCUACAUCAGAUAUAUGUUAUUGCUUUCAUGAGCAGCCACAUGCUGAUUUAUGGCAACGUGCUAUUUAUUUAUCAACAUUUACAUUGUGGAUUUUUAAAUUAUUCUAAUAACAUAAGGCCAACAAGUUGGUCAUGAUGUUACUCCUUUAAAGUCUUCCUUUGAACAUAUGUAUAAAUCAACUCUCCUUUGAUGUGAAAUUGGGGAUUUCAUAACCGUGUGUUUACUUUUUGGUUGAAAAAAUAAGCUGAAGGGAAAACAAAACAAAACAAAAA